GCUGGGGCUCAGCGGUAGAGCACUUGCCUGGCAUGUGUGAGGCACUGGGUUCGAUUCUCAGCACUGCA
RNAcentral lists this transfer RNA (68 nucleotides) under Marmota monax (woodchuck). Its description in RNAcentral is "tRNA.Ala". The record is from RNAcentral. Lineage: Eukaryota; Metazoa; Chordata; Mammalia; Rodentia; Sciuridae.